CACACAGGUUUGCUGUGGCGUUCACUGAUAAAUUGAAAGAACGCGCCAAAGUGCUCUUUGUAUGUGAGAGCAAGAAGAUCUAUGUACAGCCUCAAGGGAUUGAGACCAGAGUGGCAUCACAUUUCAGCUGGAGUGACUUUUUACACAGCACAGAUAAUUCUCACAGAUAUACCAUGGUCUUUUGGACAGGAUAA
Sinocyclocheilus rhinocerous is the source of this 194-nucleotide long non-coding RNA. RefSeq lists it as uncharacterized. NCBI's taxonomy places the organism in Eukaryota, Metazoa, Chordata, Actinopteri, Cypriniformes, Cyprinidae. The transcript has 4 exons. The record is from RefSeq and is a predicted model, not a curated record.